UGAUUACGAAUUGGUUUCGAAUGGAU
Molecule: small RNA, 26 nt
Filed under: Bombyx mori (domestic silkworm)
Lineage: Eukaryota; Metazoa; Arthropoda; Insecta; Lepidoptera; Bombycidae
Description: ovarian small RNA-32994
Source: RNAcentral